UACAGAGGGGGCAAGCGUUGUUCGGAAUUACUGGGCGUAAAGGGCGCGUAGGCGGCCUUCUAAGUCGAACGUGAAAUCCCCGGGCUCAACCCGGGAACUGCGUCCGAGACUGGAAGGCUUGAAUCCGGGAGAGGGAUGUGGAAUUCCAGGUGUAGCGGUGAAAUGCGUAGAUAUCUGGAGGAACAUCGGUGGCGAAGGCGGCAUCCUGGACCGGUAUUGACGCUGAGGCGCGAAAGCUAGGGGAGCAAACGGG
This 253-nucleotide ribosomal RNA is filed under the name uncultured bacterium. RNAcentral's name for it is "partial 16S ribosomal RNA". It matches the Rfam family "Bacterial small subunit ribosomal RNA", at positions 524 to 776 of the family's 1533-position model. The record is from RNAcentral.